AGGAUAAACGCUGGCGGCGUGCCUAACACAUGCAAGUCGAACGUCUCUUCUUUCGGGAAGAGGAGUGGCGGACGGGUGAGGAACACGUGGGAACCUGCCCUUUAGUGAGGAAUACCGGCGAGAAAUCGCCGACAAGACCGCAUAGCCCUCUUUGAUGAGAGUCAAAGAAGGAAAGCUUCGCAAGAGGCGCUAGAGGAGGGGCCUGCGUCCGAUUAGCUAGUUGGUGGGGUAAGAGCCUACCAAGGCGUCGAUCGGUAGCUGGUCUGAGAGGACGAUCAGCCACACUGGGAUUGAGAACGGCCCAGACUCCUACGGGGGCAGCAGUGAGGAAUUUUCGUCAAUGGGGGCAACCCUGAACGAGCAACGCCGCGUGCAGGAAGAAGGUUUUCGGAUCGUAAACUGCUUUUCUCGGGGAAGAGAACGGACGGUACCCGAGGAAUCAGCCCCGGCUAACUACGUGCCAGCAGCCGC
This 471-nucleotide ribosomal RNA is filed under the name uncultured bacterium. RNAcentral describes it as "SSU rRNA". It matches the Rfam family "Bacterial small subunit ribosomal RNA", at positions 26 to 518 of the family's 1533-position model. The record is from RNAcentral.